CUUGCUAAGAUAAGGAAGAGGGGUUCAAAAAGCAGGUCCAGUUCUGUGGCCAGCCCCCUCUUCAGCCACCUUGCUGAUAAUUAAGCGAAGUUGACAGCAAUUGCCAUGUGCCCAAACACCUUAAAAAAAUGAAGGAUUUUUUGUCUUUAUAUCCCCUUUACUACUGAGCAGUUCCCUCUCCUGCCCAGCAAACUAUUUCUUGUAACAAACAAUAAAAGCAUUUCGGCCAAAUUAGCACAUCGCCUGAUUCUGACGGCAUCUGUGAUGUCUAACACCCUUAGUCUGUGACCUUUGCAGAGCAGGGCAGAUGGCUGUCAAGAGACACCUAGCAGCACUGACCUCGGCGAGGGCCCUGUCUUGGAGGGGGCAGGGAGCUAGAGAGCACCGGGCCUAGGGUCUGGAAGACGGGAGUCCUGACCUCACCGCUGACAUCCCCCCAGCCUACAGCCAGUACCUAGUGAGCCUGUCCAUCCAGUCCCUGUAUCACCGCCCAUCUUAGCAAUCUAUGGCCAGAAAGGUUUUUGAGAAAUUGAUUUUGAAUGAAUGACAAGGCAUUAAGGACCUACUGCGUGCCAGGCAUUGGGCUAGCCACUGGGCACACAUGUGAAAGAUGUUCUCCUGGGGGAGAACAAGAAAACUUUGGAUCUGGGGAGUCCCAGGGAUUGUCUUGCCCCUUCAGGCAGUCAUGGUAAUGACUGAUCGCCAUCAGGGAGGGAUGGAAGCUGCGGAGGGACGUGGCAAGAUGUGGAGCAUGGCCUGGGGGUCCAAGAGAGCUAUUGUUUGUAUGUGUGAGAUUGUUGGCGUUUCUCCCGACAACCUUGAUUCCGGCUUUUGACUCACCCUGCCUGGCAUUUCACGUGAUAUGCUCUGCACAGAAGUUAAAUAGACAGGGGGACAAUGUACAGUCUCAUCUCCUUCUUCCCCAACCUGAACCAACUGGCUGUUCCACGACUGGAUCUCACUUUGCUGCUUGGCCCACAUGCAGGCUCUUCAGGAGACAAGGAAGAUGGUCUGGUCCUCCCGUCUCAGUCCAUGGUGACCCGCACAGUCAAAGGCUUCAGUGCAGUCGAUGAAGCGGAAGCAGAUGGUUUUCUGCAGCUCCCUCCCCUUCUCCAUAAUCAGCGAAUGGGGCAAUUUGGUCUCUAGUUCCUCUGCCUCUGUGAAAACCAGCCUACUCGCCUGGCCAUUCUUGGUUCUCCUCUUACUGAAGCUGGCCUGCGGAAUCUUAACCUCGCUGGUGGGUGACGUGAGCACAAAUGUUUGGUAACCUGAACAUUCCUCGGCAUUGCCCUUUGUUAGGACUGAGACAAAACCUGAUCUUUUCCAAUCCCGGGGCCACCGUGGAGUUUUCCAAAUUUGCCCGCAUAAUGAGCACACUUUGACAGCAUCAUCUCUUAGGAUUUCCAUCACCUCCCCGGGCUUCCUGUUAGCAGUGCUUGUGUGCCUUCAUCAGCAAUAGGGACAUUGGAAGGAGCCAGGGUUUCGGGACACAAGAACAGCUUCAACUUCAGACAGGUUGAAUCCAAAGUGUCUAACGGACAUCCAGCUCGAGAUCUCUGAAAGGCAGUUGGAGAUGCCAGACUGGAGGUCAGCAGAGAGGUUAGGGCAGAACAGGUGGUUUCCUCCUCCAUAACAGAUGUCCCUUCCUCUCCUCUGACACUGCUCCUCUCCCUUCUCGCAGUGCAGGUCCCUGUCACCUCACACCUGGACUAUGUCAGUAGCUGCUGGGGGAGGGGGGGCAGAGGUGGGUUUGCCUGCCUCAGGUCUCUCCCCCCUCCCUUCCUAAGGUGCAGGUGGGAUCAUGCCCCUCCCCCCCCAUAAGCUCCAGAGGCUAUUCCCCGUUAUUAGGACCAAAUGUAAAAUCCCCUCUGGUUUUCAGAGCCCUUCACCACCUGGCCUCUUCCCGCAGGUCAGUGCCACUGGUCCCCUUUCCCUCUCAGGGGCACUCUCACUGCUGCCCCCCAUCCCUGGAAGUCUUUCCCUUCCCGUGCCUGAUUCUUGGCUUCUCUGGCUUCCUUCAAGUUCCAGAUACUCCUCAGUGCUGGUGCCCUUCCCCUGCAAUUUAUCUCCUCUGUAGCUUGGGUGCUCAUGAUGCCCCCAGUUCUCUUCCCUGCUAGGCUGAAGGCAGGGGUUCUUUGCCUUUGUAUUCCUAAUGCUUGGCACAGUGCCUGUAAUGUGACAGUAUUGAUACUUAUUAAUUCCGUAAUAAAUACAACACGAAUAUGUUGCAUAUAAAUCUAUAAUAUACAUAUAUAAUAAAUACAAAUAAAAUAUGAUAAUUACUAUAUCAAUAAUUGGUGGGGAAAUGCUAAAAACAGAGGAAAGGGGGAUCAGGGAAGGCUUCUCAGAGGCAGAGUGUGAGGUGAGCUUCAAAAGGAACUUUUCCGGGAACGAGAGUGGUCACCGAGAGGUGGGAAGGCAAACGCUCAGUUGGAACGUCAUCUCUAGGGAGCUCGAAGGGGAGUAAUGUGAAAUCCUUCUGGAGACGUGGUUUGGGACCAGGUUAUUAAGGGCUUUCAAGGGCCAGCAGAGGACUCUGCAUUUGAACCCAGAAGCAAUGCAGAAUGAAACUUCUUGGAGCAGGGGAGGGUCAGGGUCUGGUUGGAUGUGGGGCUUGUCAAUGCGGCUGCUGUGUGUAGGGCAGAUGAUAAGAGAAGACUGGAAGCAGCAAGCCCAACAAGGAGGCUGGACAUUUUACAGAUGAGCAAACAGGCCGAGAGACACCGAGCAAUAAGCCCGAGGAUUUCAGAGAAGUGGCGACUCCCAGCGCUACUUCUGUCUGGCUGCAUUCAUCAUCCGUCUUCGGCGCUCUCCCCCCCCCCCAUUAACCGGGGAUGUUAGGUCUCUCGCCAGGCCUAACGUUCACUGCCAAGCAAAAACGCCCAGCCUACCGACGCGCCUCAAACCGUCUCCCGGAGCUGUCUGCAUCUUCCGUCGCAACACGUCCAACACAGAAACUGUGUCUGCUCCUUCGGCCCACCCCGGGUCCAGACUUCAAGGCUACCAAGCACCAGUCAGCCCGUUCUUGGCUCUUCCUCCCCCCCAACAGCCCAUCAGCGGCCGCGAAGUGACUGGACGCCCCACCCCCGUCCUCUGGCUCCCCUCCAUGCUACAAAAUGGUGGCAUUUUGUAUGGCCUUCCGGUCAAGCUGGCGGAGCGGUGAGGACCGUGCGCCUCCACUCAGUGCGUGUGCCUGGGGGCUCCCUCCCUCUCCACCUCUCUAGAUUACUGGUUCUUCCCAGCCGCCCGCAAGGCUUGCCUCAGCUGUCACCUCCUGGGCAGCUCUCCCGAUCCCUCCACACGUCAGUACUCCUGUGAUCCAGUUACCCUGCGUGUCACAUGCCUCGCGGGACAGCCUGCAAUCUGAGGGCAAGCGCCGUUUCAUUUUUGUACGUCUCUCUGGUACCUGGCAAAUAGCUGGCACUUACCCUCGACUGAAGCAGCUCCCUGGGGAAGAGGUGUGAGGCGUCAUGCACAUGUCAGUAGUGAUUCAUCCACUCCUACAGACUUCGAUUAACCCCUCCCCAAACAUCUCCAUGUAAAUCACUCAAAUCCCAAGUCCUCCAGAUGAGUUAACAUCAUUUUCUAUUUAGCUGAUUUUUUCCACACCCCACCCCCCCUCCGCUCCCCCAACGCUAAUUUUUGGCCUAGACCUGGGAGUUGAUUAGUGUUAGCAACUCCAGGUAACCUGAGGAAAUUCUCUGUUCUGUCAAAGUUGGGGGUACAGAGUAGUUUGGGAUAGAAUAAGAGAUCAGGAGGUCUGCCUGGUGCCACAGAGCCACAGCACAGUGCCACAGCGUCAGGGGCAGAAUCUGAGCCCCCUACCCCCAAUUUAAACUUCACACGUCUAACAUGAUCUGGGACCAGGUCAUAAAGGUUGGUCGAGUUGAAAUGACAAAAAGAGCCGAGUUCUUCAAAACCGGGUGGCACCAUUCAAUCUUCUUUCCAACGCGUUUCCUGCACAGAUCUAGAGCAUUCAAGCACACCUCAAAGCCAAAGAGAGAGCCACUCAGACUGCUCCCCAGGAGGCAGAGGAUGAAGAACAUGGCCGAGAGGACCACCUCAUCCCACAGGAAAACCAACCUAACCAAUUGUUACUAACUGCUAAGCCUUAUGGGCAGGGGGAAGAGAAAUCUUUCCCUAAGUUUCCAGUGGAAUAGAACAAAACGUUUCCAAGUACACUAAUAGAAAGAGAAGAACCUAGAGGCUAUUCCAUCACACAGUCCUUUUGCCCUCAGAAUGUCCUUGGAACAGGAAAAACUGGGAUGAAGGAGCCAGCACAGGGAAACGCCCGGGGACAACACUCUCAUCUGUCAUCUCAUCACACUUCUGCUCUCUAGAAUUUUAACAGCUCCUGGCAACAUGACUUGUAAGGAGCAAUAUCCCAAUCUCCACCAGGGAGUGGAAAGACCCAGGCUAGCCCAGUGCAGUGGAAAGGCCCAUGCUAGCCCAGCAGAGCGGAAAGGCCCAGGCUAACCCAGCAGAGCAGAAAGGCCCAGGCUAACCCAGCAGAGCGGAAAGGUCCAGGCUAACCCAGCAGAGCAGAAAGGCCUAGACUAGACCAGUGGAGUGGAAAGGUCCAGGCUAGACCAGUGGAGUGGAAAGCCUGCAAAGUCCUUCCAAGCAGGAGAGGCUCCCAGGAUGGAUGUGAGGCACAUCUGGGCCCCAAACCAUGACCUCCAACACGAAUCACCAGACAAAAUACCCACCCACUUCAAUGCCUGUCCCAUCUGCUUCUAAAGGGAUGGUAACAAAGUAAUGGGGAGAGGGAUUCUCAGAACUUGUGACAGCCUGCCUCAAGGUCGGGAACAGCUGGGUUCAAGGCCUCCCUGGCUCCCUCUUCUUUGCUCCUGGGCAAACCACUUGACAUCUCAUUGCUCUAGGUAACCCUCCACAUUGCAGAGAAGGUGCAGCCUGCACUGGUGCCUAUCCCUCUGGCCCACGAGUUCUUAACCUCUUUUUGAACCACAGAUCCCCUCUGGCAACCUGCUGAAAUACUGGAUCUCUUCUCAUAACGUUUUUAAAGACACAAGAUAGAUGCAUAGGGGGAAAAGUUAUUAGAGGGAAAGUUAUCCAGAUAUAUUUAACCUCCACCCCACCAAGUUCAUGGAUGCCAGGUUAAGAAUGCCAAUGCUGGGACAGGCUGUCCUCGUACUGUGGGAUACCUUGAUCUCCCGAGAAGUGAUUUCUAAAGGGAGAGAACACUGACCAGUAAGGUAAUGAGGGAAGACUUCUUUUACCAUCAAGUUGCCUUCUGUAGAUUACUGAGGACAAGAAAGAGAGAGACAGAGAGUGUGUGUGUGUGUUUGUAUGGGACUUUUGUUCUUGAAUACCCUCAGGGCCCAGAUGAUGAGGGCCUUGAGGCUGCUGGGUGGAUCCUUUGGAAGGAUUCAUUAAAGACCCAAGUCAGGAUAUCCCAGAAGGAGAAAAUAGGGAAGGAUUUGCCCCAUGUUAGAAGAGAGAGAAGACUCACCAGUGAAACCCCACAAAAGCAGCUGUCAUGGAGGCAUUCAUGGAAGAAAGACUCUUAAUAUAGGAAGAUUCUCACUGAACUAAAAAAAAGGAUAAACACCUUUCCGACAGACUGUUUCCUCAUAGCUGCCAAGGACAGACAGAUUCUGGUUUGUCUCUCAUUACACAUGAACACACCAACUAGACACCAAUUAAGCCUCACAGUAUUUCUUGCUGAUCCCCCUGAAACAACCACAGGCCAACGACCUGGCCAAGCAGGCUGGCUGUCUACAACUUCACAAAAUGAGACGAAAUACCCAACCCACUGUUGAUGGGUCCCCCUCCCCGAGUAGAAUGCUGCUUUUUAAGAUUCACUGUUGGCUAAUUUCACAGAAUUCACCUUUUAAAUAAUGGAAAAAUGUCCACAUACACAGCGAAGAUUCAGUUAAACAUUUAAAAUUUAUUAAACUUUUUGAUCAAAAUAGUUGAACAAGUAUAUACAAUCCCAUUGUGUUAGUACUGAAGUGUUAGGAACAAGGUAGGCCCCGCUGCUUCCACAGCUCUGUUCUGCCCUCUCAGACUUGGGAACGGUGCCCCAGCCAGGAGAUACGGGAGUAAGAACUCCUCUUAGACUCUCAGUUCAUUCACAGCUUAGGGGGCUCAAUGGACAGAGCAGGGGACACAAAACGAGGGCUAGACGCAUGUUUAUCUGCACCGCCACGAGCAGGAUUUGCAGCUCCCGCCCCUACUGUGGGAGGCACCAAGUUGUGACUCUGGUUUAUUCCUUAACUGCCCAGCAGUAUUGCCAUAGCACCCAUCACCUAUGGACUUUUAUACCCGCAUUAGUCUUGGGACAUCCUGACUCCUCACG
Molecule: non-coding RNA, 6322 nt
Organism: Phascolarctos cinereus (koala)
Lineage: Eukaryota; Metazoa; Chordata; Mammalia; Diprotodontia; Phascolarctidae
Source: RefSeq, a predicted model, not a curated record